RNAcentral lists this ribosomal RNA (492 nucleotides) under uncultured bacterium. Its description in RNAcentral is "partial 16S ribosomal RNA". It matches the Rfam family "Bacterial small subunit ribosomal RNA", at positions 29 to 507 of the family's 1533-position model. The record is from RNAcentral.
AGUGAACGCUGGCGGUAGGCCUAACACAUGCCAGUCGAACGGCAGCACAGUAAGAGCUUGCUCUUACGGGUGGCGAGUGGCGGACGGGUGAGGAAUACAUCGGAAUCUACUUUUUCGUGGGGGAUAACGUAGGGAAACUUACGCUAAUACCGCAUACGACCUACGGGUGAAAGCAGGGGAUCUUCGGACCUUGCGCGAUUGAAUGAGCCGAUGUCGGAUUAGCUAGUUGGCGGGGUAAAGACCCACCAAGGCGACGAUCCGUAGCUGGUCUGAGAGGAUGAUCAGCCACACUGGAACUGAGACACGGUCCAGACUCCUACGGGAGGCAGCAGUGGGGAAUAUUGGACAAUGGGCGCAAGCCUGAUCCAGCCAUACCGCGUGGGUGAAGAAGGCCUUCGGGUUGUAAAGCCUUUUUGUUGGGAAAGAAAAGCAGCAGGUUAAUACCCCGCUGUUCUGACGGUACCCAAAGAAUAAGCACCGGCUAACUUCGUG